UACCAGCACCCCGAGUGGUCGGGACGAUUAUUGGGCCUAAAGCAUCCGUAGCCGGUUCUACAAGUCUUCCGUUAAAUCCACCUGCUCAACAGAUGGGCUGCGGAGGAUACUAUAGAGCUAGGAGGCGGGAGAGGCAGGCGGUACUUAGUGGGUAGGGGUAAAAUCCGUUGAUCCAUUGAAGACCACCAGUGGCGAAGGCGGCUUGCCAGAACGCACUCGACGGUGAGGGAUGAAAGCUGGGGGAGCAAACCGG
RNAcentral lists this ribosomal RNA (253 nucleotides) under uncultured bacterium. Its description in RNAcentral is "partial 16S ribosomal RNA". It matches the Rfam family "Archaeal small subunit ribosomal RNA", at positions 474 to 727 of the family's 1478-position model. The record is from RNAcentral.